RNAcentral lists this ribosomal RNA (253 nucleotides) under uncultured bacterium. Its description in RNAcentral is "partial 16S ribosomal RNA". It matches the Rfam family "Bacterial small subunit ribosomal RNA", at positions 524 to 776 of the family's 1533-position model. The record is from RNAcentral.
UACGUAGGGGCCGAGCGUUGUCCGGAGUUACUGGGCGUAAAGCGCGCGCAGGCGGCUCGUCAAGCCUGACGUGAAAGCCCCCGGCUCAACCGGGGAGGGUCGUCGGGGACUGGCGAGCUUGAGGUCGGCAGGGGCUGGUGGAAUUCCCGGUGUAGUGGUGAAAUUCGUAGAUAUCGGGAGGAACACCGGUGGCGAAGGCGGCGACCUGGGUCGAUACUGACGCUGAGGUGCGAAAGCGUGGGGAGCAAACAGG